UGGGGAAUAUUUGACAAUGGGCGCAAGCCUGAUCCAGCCAUGCCGCGUGAGUGAUGAAGGCCCUAGGGUUGUAAAGCUCUUUCACCGGUGAAGAUAAUGACGGUAACCGGAGAAGAAGCCCCGGCUAACUUCGUGCCAGCAGCCGCGGUAAUACGAAGGGGGCUAGCGUUGUUCGGAUUUACUGGGCGUAAAGCGCACGUAGGCGGACUUUUAAGUCAGGGGUGAAAUCCCGGGGCUCAACCCCGGAACUGCCUUUGAUACUGGAAGUCGUGAGUAUGGUAGAGGUGAGUGGAAUUCCGAGUGUAGAGGUGAAAUUCGUAGAUAUUCGGAGGAACACCAGGGGCGAAGGCGGCUCACUGGACCAUUACUGACGCUGGGGUGCGAAGGCGUGGGGAGAAAACAGG
Molecule: ribosomal RNA, 404 nt
Filed under: Actinomycetes bacterium
Lineage: Bacteria; Bacillati; Actinomycetota; Actinomycetes
Description: Actinobacteria bacterium partial 16S ribosomal RNA
Rfam family: Bacterial small subunit ribosomal RNA
Source: RNAcentral